RNAcentral lists this ribosomal RNA (253 nucleotides) under uncultured bacterium. RNAcentral describes it as "partial 16S ribosomal RNA". It matches the Rfam family "Bacterial small subunit ribosomal RNA", at positions 524 to 776 of the family's 1533-position model. The record is from RNAcentral.
UACGUAGGGUGCAAGCGUUAUCCGGAAUUAUUGGGCGUAAAGAGCUCGUAGGCGGUUUGUCGCGUCUGCUGUGAAAACUGGGGGCUCAACCUCCAGCCUGCAGUGGGUACGGGCAAACUAGAGUGCGGUAGGGGAGAUUGGAAUUCCUGGUGUAGCGGUGGAAUGCGCAGAUAUCAGGAGGAACACCGGUGGCGAAGGCGGAUCUCUGGGCCAUUACUGACGCUGAGGAGCGAAAGCGUGGGGAGCGAACAGG